GGGGAUUUAGCUCAGUGGUAGAGCGCUUGCCUAGCAAGCGCAAGGCCCUGGGUUCCAUCCCCAGCUCCG
Non-coding RNA from Rattus norvegicus (Norway rat), 69 nucleotides. NCBI's taxonomy places the organism in Eukaryota, Metazoa, Chordata, Mammalia, Rodentia, Muridae. The record is from Rfam.